UGAAUAUAUACAGGAGCAAGAGAACAUAGAGAAAAGAAAGAGGCUUGGGGGCGUAUGCUCUUAUAACACAGAGCAAAUGAUUCUCCACUGAGAACACCAUGAAUAUGAAAACCAUGCAACAGAUGCAGUAUGCUGAACAUCAAAUGUUGGGAAACAAAGAUAUGGAGAAGAUUGUGGUUAUUCAACAAGGAUAAUGAGAACCUGAAAUACUACCAUGAUAAAGAAUGUCAGUGGUGCCAACACAAGAGUUUGAUUUUCUCAGAGUUUUAAGGUUUGUUUUCUGUGUUUUCAUUUGGCCCUGCAUACCCAGUUUUCAGAAUGUUAACCCUGAAAAAGGAGUUUGAAAAAGGGCUGAGUUUUGUAUUGACAACCUGGAAGUCCCGUGUCCCAGCCCUGCUGGAGCAGUGUUGCUCUCUAUGGUGUUCAGUACUGAGUUUAUAAAUCUGUACUUAGGAGUCUAGGUAAUUUAUUCCUGAUUCUCAGAGGUGGUAGAAGUGUCUUGUGAUGUUCAGGUCUUGAUCUUCGCACUCAAUUUCAGCUUCAAUAUUUUGGUUCCAGUCCCUUUAUUCAUAAAUUGGGCCUAUAGGCAGUAAGUCUGACCACAAAAAAGUACCRUGAAGACACAUUACUAAAGUGCAGUAUAUGGGAUGAGACCUUUCUAAAGCAUUGAGGAAGAGGGCUGUGUAUUACAAAGCAUGUAAGAAUUGUACUCACCCUCUCUUGAGCCCAAUUAUACAGAUGUGAACAACAGCAGGCAGUGCUCCAGCCUCUUUUCACUAUCAGUGCAAUUUCAGUCCUGUCAGAUAGAACCACGCUGUUUUCUAAGACUUUACUGCAGCCAGACUCUAACCUGAAUAAGUAAAGACAAACAGCGUGGAUAUUUGUACCUUUGUUUAACAACCAUGCCUGUGUUUUACUUA
This 920-nucleotide long non-coding RNA is filed under the name Dromaius novaehollandiae (emu). RNAcentral's name for it is "lncRNA (ENSDNVG00000013291.1)". Lineage: Eukaryota; Metazoa; Chordata; Aves; Casuariiformes; Dromaiidae. The record is from RNAcentral.